Non-coding RNA from Drosophila ficusphila, 136 nucleotides. The record is from Rfam. NCBI's taxonomy places the organism in Eukaryota, Metazoa, Arthropoda, Insecta, Diptera, Drosophilidae.
GUAGCAGCAACAAGAAAGUGUUUGAGUUCAUUCAGUUUAUUCAAGCGCUGAUACAAUGCUGCCAGAACAAUUUUAAUGCCAAGAACAGUUCAGUUUAGUGCAGUUUAAAAACUGAUCUACACGUGGCCUUACAAUC